GCCUGGCCCGGCAGCCGUACCGCAGACGAGCCCGCGCCCGCGCCGCUCAGAUCUCCCAGCUGGACGUUCAAAAUAGCUUUUGAUGUCUUAGGGCGUCUUUUAUUCAACCCUAGGAGGCUGAGGGAAGAAAAGAAUAAUUUAAAUGAAAUUUAGUUUCUAUAAAGAAAACGAUUAAAAACAAGGUAGGUUUUUAUCUUAGAUAUUUUAUCCAGGAUAAAGGCAGAGAUUCAACCAAGUCUUUAAUUAUAAUUAGUUAUAGGAAAUGUUUAAAGUAUGCUUACAAUAUGUGCAACUGAGUAUUCUGUUUCAGAAAGGAAAGUUUAUUGAGUUGUUUAUCUUUUGGGGGCAGUUGUUUACUUAUUUUCCUUUUAAAAUAAAUAAUCUAAUAAUUUUAUAGCAUUUUAAAUAAUCAUAAAAUGUAUGUGAUAAAGUGACUGCUAUAUGUUCUCUAUAUUUUUAUCUAUUAACUAUGGAUUGCUUCUAAAAACAUGCCUUGAAUAGUAAAGGAUUCCAUAGUGUAUGUGCAUUUUAUUUUAUUUUAUUUUAUUAUUAUUAUACUUUAAGUUUUAGGGUACAUGUGCACAAUGUGCAGGGUAGUUACAUAUGUAUACAUGUGCCAUGCUGGUGUGCUGCACCCAUUAACUCGUCAUUUAGCAUCAGGUAUAUCUUCUAAAGCUAUCCCUGUGCAUUUUAAACAUUAUAUGCUUUCUUUGUUUUUGAUGAGAUAGCAGUCUAAAUUUUUUCACUCUGCUCUUGUGUUUAAAUGCAAAUAAGUUCAUUCAGUUUUCUGUUGGUGCUUUAUUUGAUACUACCAAGUUUUUGUUUGCUAAUGUAGCACAUAUAAGGCAUCCCCUGUAAAAACAUCCCCCAAGCUACUCUAUGGUUAGUGUAUGGCUAAUAUAUU
This 904-nucleotide long non-coding RNA is filed under the name Homo sapiens (human). Its description in RNAcentral is "non-protein coding lnc-NAALADL2-1:8". The record is from RNAcentral. Lineage: Eukaryota; Metazoa; Chordata; Mammalia; Primates; Hominidae.